This is a long non-coding RNA of Magnolia sinica, 1637 nucleotides long. RefSeq lists it as uncharacterized. The record is from RefSeq and is a predicted model, not a curated record. The transcript has 2 exons. Lineage: Eukaryota; Viridiplantae; Streptophyta; Magnoliopsida; Magnoliales; Magnoliaceae.
AGAAAAACAUGAACCACCAUUAGCAAAUGCAUGUCAAAGUUAUGAAAAAAGUGCUAUUUUGACCUUUAGUAAUAUAUAUUAAAUGUCAAAAUAGUUAAUAUUUUUUUUCAAAACUUUUGUAUGAGAAAAAUGCUUUUGGAAAUAUUAUAAGGAAAACCACGAUGAAAAUAAACUUUAAAAUGCUAAAUGCAAAUUAGAAAAUAAUUAUAAAAUUUGAAUAGAUAUUCAUAUGAUGAUAAUUUAAUAUAGUUAAUAAUUUUUUUAUUUUGUUUUUGUCAUGAUAAUUUUGCAAUAAAAGUGUGAAAUAUUAAAUUGUGAUUGAGGGAACUGACUAUUUAUUGGUUGUUCUUGAUAGAGUCUGCAAGUAAUUGUGAUGCCAUUUCUUGUUGAUUAUAUUGAAUGACUUUUAAUUGUGGGUCCAUUUCUUGUAGAACAAAGACACAAAACCCUUUUUUUUUUUUUUGAAAGAUAACAACUUUAUUGAAGACACAAAACCCUAUGGAGGUGAAAAGAUAAAAAACUGUAUGGACUUUGGUCUCUCCGAUUGAUGUAGGAUAAUUAGCCACAUGCUCUAAAAGCUCAAACUGUGUGGACUUUAUCUCAUAGCCGAAGCUCGAACUGUGGACUUUAUUUCAUAGCCGAGGUCCCAUAUCCCAUGGGUUAGGACGUUGGCUGAACCCUCUUCGUGGGCCCCACUUCACAUGGGCCCACCUCACACGAGCCGCCCGCCCCGAGUGUCCCUGCAUCUCACAGGCUACCCCACUUGAGCCCGGUGUGAAAAUACCCCUGGAUUACCGACCCUCUUUUCUAAUCUCUGCUCCCUUUCUCUUUCUAUCCCCUCCUCGAUGUGCAUGCAUGCUUGUGUGUACUCAAGUUCUUGGUAUGCAUGCUUGUAUGCUGUGGUUUUUGGACUUUGCAGAUUCAAUUAGAGAAAUUGGAGCAGUUCUGUAUCACCAGCCAUCCCAAAUGAUAAUGGUUAUUGGGGCAUGCAUGAAAGAGUUGCAGAUUCAAUUAGAGAAAUUGGAGCAGUUCUGUACCACCAGCCCAAAUGAUAAUGGUUAUUGGGGCAUGCAUGAAAGAAAAGGAUACCGACUCGGAAGGAAUUACAAAGAGGCAUCUUGGAUGCGACUACACAUUUUCUUGGAUACGAACUGCAGGUUGUAGCUAUGGUGUCUCUAGUACUUUGCACAAUGCAGCUGCUACAAGAAGCAAGAUUUGGAAGCGUGGUUCCUACACGAAAGAUGUAUGGAGAGCUCAUCAAAAAAGUAUGGAUAGCUGGCUUCCUGUAUGAAUUGUACCACCUACAUACAAUGUGGCUAGAAGACAAGGGCAACGCCGUCCAACGAUGUCUAUGGAAGAAGGUAAUCGAACAGGAAUUGUUUUUGACAGUGUAGCCUGCCUGAUGAAUGGCCAAAAACAUACAUUGAUUGACAGAUGGUUGGUGCCUUGGUGGGGCCUGCCUGAUGAAUGGAGCAUCCUGGUUUAUGUCGCUGUGAUCUUGUUGGCACGAACUUUUUAUGUGUUCCCCUUCUCAGCUUGUAAUGAUAGUUGAUCAUUUCAAUAUUUCCUUGAGACGUUGAGCCAAUUUGGUUUUUCCAUGUCUGAAGAAUGGGUGGUAGAUCUAACAUUAGAAUUUA